Molecule: long non-coding RNA, 409 nt
Organism: Salvia splendens (bonfire salvia)
Lineage: Eukaryota; Viridiplantae; Streptophyta; Magnoliopsida; Lamiales; Lamiaceae
Exons: 2
Source: RefSeq, a predicted model, not a curated record
UUAGAAUUUCUCUCUCCCCUAUUAUCCGAUUAAUCACGUUGCUCUCUCAAUCCAAAAACCCUAGGAAGAAAUCCCCAAUUAAUUGGCGCUCUUCCACCAGUUCUCUUUGCCACCAAUUUUCGAUUUCUAGCGUCGCUACCGGUUCUUGAUUCCACCAGUUUUCUCCGUCGAAUUGCUUGAUUCAAGUUUGAAAAUUGCUUGACUCGCGCUUAUUACAAUUGUUAGAAAAAGGAAGGCAAACGAAGAUCCUGCAGAAGAGGACUUUAGAAAUAGAGUUAUGUUUGUCAUUCAGCACAUUGAGAUUUAGAACAUUGAUCACACAUAAGCAAUUGUUAGUAUAAGCAAUUGCUGACUCACACACAAGCAAAUCAUCAAAUGUAACCAAGUGAAAUUGUGGUUUCAAAAUUAA